RNAcentral lists this ribosomal RNA (113 nucleotides) under Syntrophomonadaceae bacterium. Lineage: Bacteria; Bacillati; Bacillota; Clostridia; Eubacteriales; Syntrophomonadaceae. The record is from RNAcentral.
CCUGGUGACAAUAGCGGAGGAGAAACACCCGUUCCCAUACCGAACACGGCAGUUAAGCCCUCCUGCGCCGAUGGUACUGCAGAAUUCUGUGGGAGAGUAGGACGUUGCCAGGA